Molecule: ribosomal RNA, 1927 nt
Filed under: human gut metagenome
Description: bacterial LSU rRNA
Rfam family: Bacterial large subunit ribosomal RNA
Source: RNAcentral
UCAAGUGACUAAGUGCAUGCGGCGGAUGCCUUGGCGAUCACAGGCGAAGAAAGACGCGGCAGCCUGCGAAAAGCUGCGGGGAGCUGGCAAACGAGCUUUGAUCCGCAGAUAUCUGAAUGGGGGAACCCACACCGCAAGGUGUAUCCGUAACUGAAUACAUAGGUUACGGAGGCGAACGAGGAGAACUGAAACAUCUAAGUAUCCUCAGGAAAAGAAAUCAACCGAGAUUCCGGCAGUAGCGGCGAGCGAACCCGGAGGAGCCCAGCUUUUGAUAGUACGAACUUUAGCCGAAAGGUCCUGGAAAGGCCUGCUAUAGUGGGUGAUAGCCCCGUAGGCGAAAAAGUUUGUGCGGUACUAAGGAAGCGAGAAGUAGAGCGGGACACGUGGAAUCCUGUUCGAAGAUGGGGGGACCAUCCUCCAAGGCUAAAUACUCGUGAUCGACCGAUAGUGAACCAGUACCGUGAGGGAAAGGCGAAAAGAACCCCGGGAGGGGAGUGAAAUAGAACCUGAAACCGCAUGCAUACAAACAGUAGGAGCCUCAUCAGAGGUGACUGCGUACCUUUUGCAUAAUGGGUCAGCGACUUACAUUCUGUGGCGAGCUUAACCGAAUAGGGGAGGCGCAGCGAAAGCGAGUUCGAAAUGAGCGUUCAGUCGCAGGGUGUAGACCCGAAACCAGAUGAGCUAUCCAUGGCCAGGUUGAAGGUGUGGUAACACACACUGGAGGACCGAACCGACUAGUGUUGCAAAAUUAGCGGAUGAGCUGUGGAUAGGGGUGAAAGGCCAAACAAAUCUGGAGAUAGCUGGUUCUCCCCGAAAACUAUUGAGGUAGUGCCUCGUGUGUCGCUCCAGGGGGUAGAGCACUGUUUUGGCUAGGGGGACAUGGAGUCUUACCAAACCAAGGCAAACUCCGAAUACCUGGAAGCGUAAGCACGGGAGACAGAGCACCGGGUGCUAACGUCCGGACUCAAAAGGGAAACAACCCAGACCGCCGGCUAAGGUCCCAAAUAACAGCUAAGUGGAAAACGAAGUGGAAAGGCCGUGACAACCAGGAAGUUGGCUUAGAAGCAGCCAUCCUUCAAAGAAAGCGUAAUAGCUCACUGGUCGAGUCCUUCUGCGCGGAAGAUGUAACGGGGCUAAGCUGUUAACCGAAGCCGCGGAUGCACUGGUUAUCCAGUGCGUGGUAGGGGAGCGUUCUGUAAGUCUGCGAAGGCGGUUCGAGAGGACUGCUGGAGAUAUCAGAAGUGCGAAUGCUGACAUGAGUAACGUUAAAGCAGGUGAAAAGCCUGCUCGCCGUAAGCCCAAGGAUUCCUGCUCUACGUUCAUCGGAGCAGGGUGAGUCGGCUCCUAAGGUCAGGCCGAAAGGCGUAGCCGAUGGGAAUCAGGUUAAUAUUCCUGAACCUGCGUCAGAUGCGAUGGGGGGACGGAGCAUGGAAGAUCAUCCGGGUGUUGGAAGUCCCGGUUGUUUAGCGUAGGAGGUCUGCAGGCAAAUCCGCAGACGCAUCUCCAAGGCAAAGACACGUGCCGCCACGGCGGCGAAGUGAUCGGAAGUGCUUCCAAGAAAAGCCUCUAAGCACCAGUCUGGCGCGGACCGUACCGCAAACCGACACUGGUGGGCGAGCUGAAUAUGCUCAGGCGCUUGAGAGAACUCGGGAGAAGGAACUCGGCAAAUUGACACCGUAACUUCGGAAGAAGGUGUGCCGUAGUACCGUGAGAGGAGAGACACCUUGAGCGGGAAACGGUCUCAGAGAAUAGGUGGCUGCGACUGUUUAUUAAAAACACAGCACUCUGCAAAGUCGAAAGACGACGUAUAGGGUGUGAUGCCUGCCCGGUGCUGGAAGAUUAAUUGAUGGGGUGAGAGCCCUUGAUCGAAGUCCCAGUAAACGGCGGCCGUAACUAUAACGGUCCUAAGGUAGCGAAAUUCCUUGUC